GAUCAUGGCUCAGGAUGAACGCUAGCGGCAGGCUUAACACAUGCAAGUCGAGGGGUAGAGGAAGCUUGCUUCCUUGAGACCGGCGCACGGGUGCGUAACGCGUAUACAAUCUACCUUUACAGAGGGAUAGCCCAGAGAAAUUUGGAUUAAUACCUCAUAGUAUAGCAGUUUCGCAUGAAACCACUAUUAAAGUCACAACGGCAAAAGAUGAGCAUGCGUCCCAUUAGUUAGUUGGUAAGGUAACGGCUUACCAAGACAAUGAUGGGUAGGGGUCCUGAGAGGGAGAUCCCCCACACUGGUACUGAGACACGGACCAGACUCCUACGGGAGGCAGCAGUGAGGAAUAUUGGUCAAUGGGCGCAAGCCUGAACCAGCCAUGCCGCGUGCAGGAAGACGGUCCUAUGGAUUGUAAACUGCUUUUAUACAGGAAGAAACCCUCCCACGUGUGGGAGCUUGACGGUACUGUAGGAAUAAGGAUCGGCUAACUCCGUG
RNAcentral lists this ribosomal RNA (492 nucleotides) under uncultured bacterium. Its description in RNAcentral is "bacterial SSU rRNA". It matches the Rfam family "Bacterial small subunit ribosomal RNA", at positions 15 to 507 of the family's 1533-position model. The record is from RNAcentral.